GUCGAGGGGUAUAGGUUUUCGGACCUAGAGACCGGCGCACGGGUGCGUAACGCGUAUGCAAUCUACCUUUUACAGAGGGAUAGCCCAGAGAAAUUUGGAUUAAUACCUCAUAGUAUUAUUGAAUGGCAUCAUUUAAUAAUUAAAGUCACAACGGUAAAAGAUGAGCAUGCGUCCCAUUAGCUUGUUGGUAAGGUAACGGCUUACCAAGGCAACGAUGGGUAGGGGUCCUGAGAGGGAGAUCCCCCACACUGGUACUGAGACACGGACCAGACUCCUACGGGAGGCAGCAGUGAGGAAUAUUGGUCAAUGGGCGCAAGCCUGAACCAGCCAUGCCGCGUGCAGGAUGACGGUCCUAUGGAUUGUAAACUGCUUUUGUACAGGAAGAAACAGUUCUACGUGUAGAACCUUGACGGUACUGUAAGAAUAAGGAUCGGCUAACUCCGUGCCAGCAGCCGCGGUAAUACGGAGGAUCCAAGCGUUAUCCGGAAUCAUUGGGUUUAAAGGGUCCGUAGGCGGUUUUGUAAGUCAGUGGUGAAAGCCCAUCGCUCAACGGUGGAACGGCCAUUGAUACUGCAAGACUUGAAUUAUUGGGAAGUAACUAGAAUAUGUAGUGUAGCGGCGAAAUGCUUACAGAUUACAUGGAAUACCAAUUGCGAA
This 657-nucleotide ribosomal RNA is filed under the name uncultured bacterium. RNAcentral describes it as "bacterial SSU rRNA". It matches the Rfam family "Bacterial small subunit ribosomal RNA", at positions 61 to 719 of the family's 1533-position model. The record is from RNAcentral.